GGGGAUAAAGAUGCUGAUGCCAAUGAGGUCCCUGGGUGCUUUCUCCUUUUCAACCAAUGCCAGCCUGAGCUGUCUCCCAGGAACGCCAGACUCCCUGGUGUGUGUGGUCGGUGAUUCUUGGCUCACACUGGAUCGGGGUUGUUCAGGGCUGGUGGAAUCCAGUGCCCAACCCCUGGAACCUGAGAAGCAGAUUUCUCCCUCAGGAGGCUCCUGGGCUGCUUUGGCUUGAGAAACAGCUGCUAAUUCUGUUCCUGACACAGCUCAGAUGUAAGGUUAUCUGUCCCACCGUGGCUGACAUGGGACCAGGCACUGGACGCAGAAGGAGUUGGGUUCCAGGGAACCGACUCCUGAUGGUACUUUAAUGGCCACUGCAGAUGUAUCUUCUGGCACCUGGCUGACAGUCUCCCAGUUAUGUCAAAAGGACUCGGAAUCCAAUCUGAAGAGGUGCCAUUGGUCAAAUAAGGAACAACUUGAGCAUCAAGAAGCAUAAUGAAUCCAUUGAUUGAAAUAAUGAAAUAUUUUUAAAAUUCAUGAGUUUACAAGGAUAUAAAUAAAUCUCAU
Molecule: long non-coding RNA, 561 nt
Organism: Piliocolobus tephrosceles (Ugandan red Colobus)
Lineage: Eukaryota; Metazoa; Chordata; Mammalia; Primates; Cercopithecidae
Exons: 3
Source: RefSeq, a predicted model, not a curated record